RNAcentral lists this transfer RNA (73 nucleotides) under Sphaerodactylus townsendi. Its description in RNAcentral is "tRNA-Thr". It matches the Rfam family "tRNA". Rfam says of the family: Transfer RNA (tRNA) molecules are approximately 80 nucleotides in length. Their secondary structure includes four short double-helical elements and three loops (D, anti-codon, and T loops). Further hydrogen bonds mediate the characteristic L-shaped molecular structure. tRNAs have two regions of fundamental functional importance: the anti-codon, which is responsible for specific mRNA codon recognition, and the 3' end, to which the tRNAs corresponding amino acid is attached (by aminoacyl-tRNA synthetases). tRNAs cope with the degeneracy of the genetic code in two manners: having more than one tRNA (with a specific anti-codon) for a particular amino acid; and 'wobble' base-pairing, i.e. permitting non-standard base-pairing at the 3rd anti-codon position. The record is from RNAcentral. Lineage: Eukaryota; Metazoa; Chordata; Lepidosauria; Squamata; Sphaerodactylidae.
GGAGGCUGUGGCUUGGGGGAACAGCAUCUGCUUGGUAUGCAGAAGGUCACAGGCUCAAUCCCUGAUGUCUCCA